RNAcentral lists this ribosomal RNA (512 nucleotides) under uncultured bacterium. RNAcentral describes it as "bacterial SSU rRNA". It matches the Rfam family "Bacterial small subunit ribosomal RNA", at positions 17 to 518 of the family's 1533-position model. The record is from RNAcentral.
UCCUGGCUUAGGAUGAACGCUAGCUACAGGCUUAACACAUGCAAGUCGAGGGGCAGCAUGAUCUUAGCUUGCUAAGAUUGAUGGCGACCGGCGCACGGGUGAGUAACGCGUAUCCAACCUUCCCCUUAGUAGGGCAUAGCCCGUAGAAAUGCGGAUUAAUACCCUAUGUUGUAUAUUGAGGACAUCUGAUUUAUACCAAAGGUUCACCGCUAAGGGAUGGGGAUGCGUCUGAUUAGGUAGUCGGCGGGGUAACGGCCCACCGAGCCUACGAUCAGUAGGGGUUCUGAGAGGAAGGUCCCCCACAUUGGAACUGAGACACGGUCCAAACUCCUACGGGAGGCAGCAGUGAGGAAUAUUGGUCAAUGGACGAGAGUCUGAACCAGCCAAGUAGCGUGCAGGAUGACGGCCCUAUGGGUUGUAAACUGCUUUUAUACAGGGAUAAAGUUGGGAACGUGUUCCCCUUUGCAGGUACUGUAUGAAUAAGGACCGGCUAAUUCCGUGCCAGCAGCGGC